Molecule: long non-coding RNA, 1471 nt
Filed under: Ananas comosus (pineapple)
Lineage: Eukaryota; Viridiplantae; Streptophyta; Magnoliopsida; Poales; Bromeliaceae
Description: long non-coding RNA (ACOM_LNC031272)
Source: RNAcentral
GGUUUGAGACCCGACCUGUUCAGGUUCGUUAGGGCGCAGAGGUCGAGGACUUUGGACGCGUCCAUUGAGCAGGCACUAUGGAAGGAGAGAGGAGAGGUGUCACUGCGAGAGAGGGCUCAGGGGCCGGGACAGAGUCAGGACAGGAAGCGCCCAGCUCCAGACGACGGAGGCCAGUCGAGUAGCAGGCGUCCGCCGAGACCUCCACGAUCGCGUUCUCAGGGUCGUGGGUUCUCGGGACGUCAGCGAUCCAGAGACUCCCGUCAGAGAGGACAGCCUGAGAGGGCGCCGCAGUGUGUGAUCUGCGGAGGACCACACUGGCCCAGACAGUGUGAGCAGAGGGAGGGCCGGUGCUACGGAUGUGGUCAGCCGGGACACAUGAGGGCAGCUUGUCCCAGAGCAGCAUCUCCAGCACCAUCAUCUGCUUCAGCUCCACCAGCACCUCAGCAGACUUACAGAGCAGCACCGAGUUACCGCCAGGAGGAUAGGUCGUCCAUGCCGCGACAGGGUGAGCGUCGACAGCAGGCUCCGAGUGGUAGAGUCUAUGCAGCUCAGGUGGAGGACUCUACAGCAGCCGACCGAGUGGUGGCAGGUAUCACUUUGAUUUCUGGCAUUAGAGUUCGCACUCUUUUUGAUACUGGUGCAUCGCAUUCCUUUGUUAGCCGAGCAUUUGCAUUGUUGCAUGGUCUAGAGUUAGGGGCAUUGUCACAGGCACGAGAGGUGCAGAUCCCGGACCAUGUUUUACAGGUUGCGGAGUGUUGUUGGUCGUGUCCGGUGCAGUUGGACUCGUGGGUCAUGCCCGCAGACCUGUUGGUGUUAGGGCAGCUGCAGGACUUCGACGUCGUGCUCGGUAUGGAUUGGCUGGCGCGGUACUACGCUACGAUCGACUGUGGAGCGAGGACGGUGAUGUUCCGCGAGCCAGGCCAGAAGGAGUUCACUUUCAGAGGCUGCAGGAGCACGCUAUUUGCCACCUGGAUAUCUUCGGCGAGGGCUCGACAGAUGCUGAGUAGCGGGUGUAUCGCUUUCCUAGUGACUGUUGUGGAGGUACCUACGGCGGCGCCGGGACUUGAGGACAUCCUAGUAGUCCGCGAGUUUCCGGAUGUAUUUCCCCCUGAGUUGACGACGUUGCCGCCGGAGAGGGAGAUUGAGUUUGUGAUUGAUGUAGUUCCUGGAACUGCACCAAUCUCAAAGGUACCUUAUCGGAUGGCACCGGCGGAGCUGAGAGAGCUAAAGGCGCAGCUUCAGGAUCUGAUGGAUAGAGGGGGUGCCAGUGUCGAUUAGUGGGUGACCGAUGUCGUGUUGGGCGGUACCCACUGAGGACUACUUGUUUUUACAGUAGUUCUCACGCCCAGUUGUUACUUAUGUUUUGCAGAGCCACAGGUGCCGGCUGCUGCAUCUUCCGCCGACCAGGAUCGAGGCAAGGGCGUUGUGAGCUAGAGCCCUACCCGACAGUCAGAGCUAGAGGCUUUCCCCU